UCCGGUUUGUCACCGGCAGUCUCGCAUGAGUCCCCAGCUUCACCUGCUGGCAACAUGCGACGAGGGUUGCGCUCGUUGCGGGACUUAACCCAACAUCUCACGACACGAGCUGACGACAGCCAUGCAGCACCUGUGUUCCGAUUCCCUUUCAGGCACACCCACCUUUCAGCAGGCUCUCGGACAUGUCAAGGGUAGGUAAGGUUGUUCGCGUUGCAUCGAAGCAACGCGCAGAACCUUACCGACCCUUGACAUGUCCCGUGUGGAUUCCAGAGAUGGGAUCCUUCAGUUCGGCUGGCGGGAACACAGGUGCU
Molecule: unclassified non-coding RNA, 311 nt
Filed under: uncultured Gammaproteobacteria bacterium
Lineage: Bacteria; Pseudomonadati; Pseudomonadota; Gammaproteobacteria
Description: contains 16S-23S intergenic spacer region
Source: RNAcentral